ACUGAAAAAUCAAAUGUGGUUUUUCAAUCACAAAAGCCAAAAUUUAGGAUAAAUUGGAACCAUUAACUAUGGUAGAGGGAAUUUCUAGUGGAGCGGUGAAAUGUGGAGAGAUCGAAAAGAACACUAAUGGCAAAAGCACUUUGCUGGCCGACAUUGACACUCAGAGGCAAAAGUUAAGGGAGCGAAUGGGAUUAGAUGCCCCGGUAGUCCUAGUCGUAAACGAUGGACACUAGACGCUAUGCGUAUCGACCCAUGCAGUACGAAUUGUGAGUCGAAUGAGUCUUGU
RNAcentral lists this non-coding RNA (286 nucleotides) under Eucalyptus grandis. RNAcentral describes it as "Bacterial small subunit ribosomal RNA". It matches the Rfam family "Bacterial small subunit ribosomal RNA", at positions 591 to 865 of the family's 1533-position model. Lineage: Eukaryota; Viridiplantae; Streptophyta; Magnoliopsida; Myrtales; Myrtaceae. The record is from Rfam by way of RNAcentral.